Molecule: ribosomal RNA, 333 nt
Filed under: uncultured eukaryote
Lineage: Eukaryota
Description: partial 18S ribosomal RNA
Rfam family: Eukaryotic small subunit ribosomal RNA
Source: RNAcentral
CCCUUAGAUGUCCGGGGCCGCACGCGCGCUACACUGAAGGAAUCAGCGUGGCUUUCUCCCUGACCCGAAAGGGUUGGGAAACCCGUUGAAUCUCCUUCGUGAUAGGGAUUGGGGCUUGAAAUUGUUCCCCAUGAACGAGGAAUUCCCAGUAAGCGCGAGUCAUAAGCUCGCGUUGAUUACGUCCCUGCCCUUUGUACACACCGCCGUCGCUACUACCGAUUGAACGGUUUAGUGAGGGCCUCGGAUUGGUCUCGGCCCGCUCUUUACCGGGCGGCGCCGUUGGUCGAGAAGACGCUCGAACUUGAUCGUUUAGAGGAAGUAAAAGUCGUAACA